Molecule: ribosomal RNA, 2903 nt
Filed under: Escherichia albertii
Lineage: Bacteria; Pseudomonadati; Pseudomonadota; Gammaproteobacteria; Enterobacterales; Enterobacteriaceae
Description: 23S ribosomal RNA
Rfam family: Bacterial large subunit ribosomal RNA
Source: RNAcentral
GGUUAAGCGACUAAGCGUACACGGUGGAUGCCCUGGCAGUCAGAGGCGAUGAAGGACGUGCUAAUCUGCGAAAAGCGUCGGUAAGGUGAUAUGAACCGUUAUAACCGGCGAUGUCCGAAUGGGGAAACCCAGUGUGUUUCGACACACUAUCAUUAACUGAAUCCAUAGGUUAAUGAGGCGAACCGGGGGAACUGAAACAUCUAAGUACCCCGAGGAAAAGAAAUCAACCGAGAUUCCCCCAGUAGCGGCGAGCGAACGGGGAGGAGCCCAGAGCCUGAAUCAGUGUGUGUGUUAGUGGAAGCGUCUGGAAAGGCGUGCGAUACAGGGUGACAGCCCCGUACACAAAAAUGCACAUGCUGUGAGCUCGAUGAGUAGGGCGGGACACGUGGUAUCCUGUCUGAAUAUGGGGGGACCAUCCUCCAAGGCUAAAUACUCCUGACUGACCGAUAGUGAACCAGUACCGUGAGGGAAAGGCGAAAAGAACCCCGGCGAGGGGAGUGAAAAAGAACCUGAAACCGUGUACGUACAAGCAGUGGGAGCCUCUUUAUGGGGUGACUGCGUACCUUUUGUAUAAUGGGUCAGCGACUUAUAUUCUGUAGCAAGGUUAACCGAAUAGGGGAGCCGGAGGGAAACCGAGUCUUAACUGGGCGUUAAGUUGCAGGGUAUAGACCCGAAACCCGGUGAUCUAGCCAUGGGCAGGUUGAAGGUUGGGUAACACUAACUGGAGGACCGAACCGACUAAUGUUGAAAAAUUAGCGGAUGACUUGUGGCUGGGGGUGAAAGGCCAAUCAAACCGGGAGAUAGCUGGUUCUCCCCGAAAGCUAUUUAGGUAGCGCCUCGUGAAUUCAUCUCCGGGGGUAGAGCACUGUUUCGGCAAGGGGGUCAUCCCGACUUACCAACCCGAUGCAAACUGCGAAUACCGGAGAAUGUUAUCACGGGAGACACACGGCGGGUGCUAACGUCCGUCGUGAAGAGGGAAACAACCCAGACCGCCAGCUAAGGUCCCAAAGUCAUGGUUAAGUGGGAAACGAUGUGGGAAGGCCCAGACAGCCAGGAUGUUGGCUUAGAAGCAGCCAUCAUUUAAAGAAAGCGUAAUAGCUCACUGGUCGAGUCGGCCUGCGCGGAAGAUGUAACGGGGCUAAACCAUGCACCGAAGCUGCGGCAGCGACGCUGAUGCGUUGUUGGGUAGGGGAGCGUUCUGUAAGCCUGCGAAGGUGUACUGUGAGGUAUGCUGGAGGUAUCAGAAGUGCGAAUGCUGACAUAAGUAACGAUAAAGCGGGUGAAAAGCCCGCUCGCCGGAAGACCAAGGGUUCCUGUCCAACGUUAAUCGGGGCAGGGUGAGUCGACCCCUAAGGCGAGGCCGAAAGGCGUAGUCGAUGGGAAACAGGUUAAUAUUCCUGUACUUGGUGUUACUGCGAAGGGGGGACGGAGAAGGCUAUGUUGGCCGGGCGACGGUUGUCCCGGUUUAAGCGUGUAGGCUGGUUUUCCAGGCAAAUCCGGAGAAUCAAGGCUGAGGCGUGAUGACGAGGCACUACGGUGCUGAAGCAACAAAUGCCCUGCUUCCAGGAAAAGCCUCUAAGCAUCAGGUAACAUCAAAUCGUACCCCAAACCGACACAGGUGGUCAGGUAGAGAAUACCAAGGCGCUUGAGAGAACUCGGGUGAAGGAACUAGGCAAAAUGGUGCCGUAACUUCGGGAGAAGGCACGCUGAUAUGUAGGUGAAGCGACUUGCUCGUGGAGCUGAAAUCAGUCGAAGAUACCAGCUGGCUGCAACUGUUUAUUAAAAACACAGCACUGUGCAAACACGAAAGUGGACGUAUACGGUGUGACGCCUGCCCGGUGCCGGAAGGUUAAUUGAUGGGGUCAGCGCAAGCGAAGCUCUUGAUCGAAGCCCCGGUAAACGGCGGCCGUAACUAUAACGGUCCUAAGGUAGCGAAAUUCCUUGUCGGGUAAGUUCCGACCUGCACGAAUGGCGUAAUGAUGGCCAGGCUGUCUCCACCCGAGACUCAGUGAAAUUGAACUCGCUGUGAAGAUGCAGUGUACCCGCGGCAAGACGGAAAGACCCCGUGAACCUUUACUAUAGCUUGACACUGAACACUGGUCCUUGAUGUGUAGGAUAGGUGGGAGGCUUUGAAGUGUGGACGCCAGUCUGCGUGGAGCCGUCCUUGAAAUACCACCCUUUAAUGGCUGGUGUUCUAACGUUGGCCCCUUAUCGGGGUUGCGGACAGUGUCUGGUGGGUAGUUUGACUGGGGCGGUCUCCUCCUAAAGAGUAACGGAGGAGCACGAAGGUUGGCUAAUCCUGGUCGGACAUCAGGAGGUUAGUGCAAUGGCAUAAGCCAGCUUGACUGCGAGCGUGACGGCGCGAGCAGGUGCGAAAGCAGGUCAUAGUGAUCCGGUGGUUCUGAAUGGAAGGGCCAUCGCUCAACGGAUAAAAGGUACUCCGGGGAUAACAGGCUGAUACCGCCCAAGAGUUCAUAUCGACGGCGGUGUUUGGCACCUCGAUGUCGGCUCAUCACAUCCUGGGGCUGAAGUAGGUCCCAAGGGUAUGGCUGUUCGCCAUUUAAAGUGGUACGCGAGCUGGGUUUAGAACGUCGUGAGACAGUUCGGUCCCUAUCUGCCGUGGGCGCUGGAGAACUGAGGGGGGCUGCUCCUAGUACGAGAGGACCGGAGUGGACGCAUCACUGGUGUUCGGGUUGUCAUGCCAAUGGCACUGCCCGGUAGCUAAAUGCGGAAGAGAUAAGUGCUGAAAGCAUCUAAGCACGAAACUUGCCCCGAGAUGAGUUCUCCCUGAGACAUUAAGUCUCCUGAAGGAACGUUGAAGACGACGACGUUGAUAGGCCGGGUGUGUAAGCGCAGCGAUGCGUUGAGCUAACCGGUACUAAUGAACCGUGAGGCUUAACCUU